GACGAACGCUGGCGGCGUGCUUAACACAUGCAAGUCGAACGGUGAUGCUCCAGCUUGCUGGAGUGGAUCAGUGGCGAACGGGUGAGUAACACGUGAGCAACCUGCCCCAGACUCUGGAAUAAGCGCUGGAAACGGCGUCUAAUACUGGAUACGAAACUGGCCCGCAUGGGCAUGGUUUGGAAAGUUUUUCGGUUUGGGAUGGGCUCGCGGCCUAUCAGCUUGUUGGUGAGGUAAUGGCUCACCAAGGCUACGACGGGUAGCCGGCCUGAGAGGGCGACCGGCCACACUGGGACUGAGACACGGCCCAGACUCCUACGGGAGGCAGCAGUGGGGAAUAUUGCACAAUGGGCGAAAGCCUGAUGCAGCGACGCCGCGUGAGGGAUGACGGCCUUCGGGUUGUAAACCUCUUUCAGCAGGGAAGAAGCGAAAGUGACGGUACCUGCAGAAGAAGCACCGGCUAACUACGUG
This 468-nucleotide ribosomal RNA is filed under the name uncultured bacterium. Its description in RNAcentral is "partial 16S ribosomal RNA". It matches the Rfam family "Bacterial small subunit ribosomal RNA", at positions 28 to 507 of the family's 1533-position model. The record is from RNAcentral.